AGCCAGCAGCCGCGGUAAUACGGAGGAUGCAAGCGUUAUCCGGAAUGAUUGGGCGUAAAGGGUCCGCAGGUGGCUGUGUAAGUCUGCUGUUAAAGAGUCUAGCUCAACUAGAUAAAAGCAGUGGAAACUACACAGCUUGAGUGCGUUCGGGGCAGAGGGAAUUCCUGGUGUAGCGGUGAAAUGCGUAGAUAUCAGGAAGAACACCGGUGGCGAAAGCGCUCUGCUAGGCCGCAACUGACACUGAGGGACGAAAGCUAGGGGAGCGAAUGGGAUUAGAUACCCCAGUAGUCCUAGCCGUAAACGAUGGAUACUAGGCGUGGCUUGUAUCGACCCGAGCCGUGCCGUAGCUAACGCGUUAAGUAUCCCGCCUGGGGAGUACGCACGCAAGUGUGAAACUCAAAGGAAUUGACGGGGGCCCGCACA
RNAcentral lists this ribosomal RNA (423 nucleotides) under uncultured bacterium. RNAcentral's name for it is "bacterial SSU rRNA". It matches the Rfam family "Bacterial small subunit ribosomal RNA", at positions 506 to 927 of the family's 1533-position model. The record is from RNAcentral.